AGGCAGCAGUGAGGAAUAUUGGUCAAUGGGCGCGAGCCUGAACCAGCCAAGUAGCGUGCGGGAGGAAGGCCCUAUGGGUUGUAAACCGCUUUUACCGGGGGAUAAAGUGAGCGACGUGUCGCUCAUUGCAGGUACCCGGCGAAUAAGGACCGGCUAAUUCC
This 161-nucleotide ribosomal RNA is filed under the name uncultured bacterium. RNAcentral describes it as "partial 16S ribosomal RNA". It matches the Rfam family "Bacterial small subunit ribosomal RNA", at positions 346 to 504 of the family's 1533-position model. The record is from RNAcentral.